UGGGGAAUAUUGCACAAUGGGGGAAACCCUGAUGCAGCAACGCCGCGUGAAGGAAGAAGGCCUUUGGGUCGUAAACUUCUGUCCUAAGGAAAGAUAAUGACGGUACCUUUGGAGGAAGCCCCGGCUAACUACGUGCCAGCAGCCGCGGUAAUACGUAGGGGGCGAGCGUUAUCCGGAAUUAUUGGGCGUAAAGAGUGCGUAGGCGGUUUUUUGAAGCGCGGGGGUGAAAGGCAAUGGCUUAACCAUUGUUAGCCCUGCGAACUGGGGGACUUGAGUGCAGGAGAGGAAAGCGGAAUUCCUAGUGUAGCGGUGAAAUGCGUAGAUAUUAGGAGGAACACCAGUGGCGAAGGCGGCUUUCUGGACUGUAACUGACGCUGAGGCACGAAAGUGUGGGGAGCAAACAGGAUUAGAUACCC
This 416-nucleotide ribosomal RNA is filed under the name uncultured bacterium. RNAcentral describes it as "bacterial SSU rRNA". It matches the Rfam family "Bacterial small subunit ribosomal RNA", at positions 355 to 787 of the family's 1533-position model. The record is from RNAcentral.